UGGGGAAUAUUGGACAAUGGGCGCAAGCCUGAUCCAGCCAUGCCGCGUGCAGGAUGAAGGCCUUCGGGUUGUAAACUGCUUUUGUACGGAACGAAAAGACUCUGGUUAAUACCUGGGGUCCAUGACGGUACCGUAAGAAUAAGCACCGGCUAACUACGUGCCAGCAGCCGCGGUAAUACGUAGGGUGCGAGCGUUAAUCGGAAUUACUGGGCGUAAAGCGUGCGCAGGCGGUUAUAUAAGACAGAUGUGAAAUCCCCGGGCUCAACCUGGGAACUGCAUUUGUGACUGUAUAGCUAGAGUACGGCAGAGGGGGAUGGAAUUCCGCGUGUAGCAGUGAAAUGCGUAGAUAUGCGGAGGAACACCGAUGGCGAAGGCAAUCCCCUGGGCCUGUACUGACGCUCAUGCACGAAAGCGUGGGGAGCAAACAGGAUUAGAUACCCGUGUAGUCCCUGAGCGGGCUGGCAAGGCGCAU
This 472-nucleotide ribosomal RNA is filed under the name uncultured bacterium. RNAcentral's name for it is "bacterial SSU rRNA". It matches the Rfam family "Bacterial small subunit ribosomal RNA", at positions 355 to 825 of the family's 1533-position model. The record is from RNAcentral.